AGCUUCUUGAGAGUCAUUCAACAACAAUGGCUCCAACAGUAUGUAUAUGCUAACAAAUUCGAAACACAAAGCCCAAAUAUUGAAAUUGAAACUUAAAUUCAUAAUCACAAUAACUAAUAUAACAUCUUACCAAGAAUUUACACUUCUUGUUCCAGAUUAAGUCUAAUUCUCCCUCACUCAAGAUCUCCUCCCCUUUUUCUCUGGUUUUUCCUUCCUUCUCUCUUCUUUCUUUCUCUCGGUCUUCUCUCCUUUCCCUUUCCUCUUUCUUUUUUUUUUUUUUU
Molecule: long non-coding RNA, 281 nt
Filed under: Actinidia chinensis (golden kiwifruit)
Lineage: Eukaryota; Viridiplantae; Streptophyta; Magnoliopsida; Ericales; Actinidiaceae
Description: long non-coding RNA (ACHI_LNC000976)
Source: RNAcentral